This 484-nucleotide ribosomal RNA is filed under the name uncultured bacterium. RNAcentral describes it as "partial 16S ribosomal RNA". It matches the Rfam family "Bacterial small subunit ribosomal RNA", at positions 30 to 507 of the family's 1533-position model. The record is from RNAcentral.
AUUGAACGCUGGCGGCAGGCCUAACACAUGCAAGUCGAGCGGAUGAAGGGAGCUUGCUCCUGGAUUCAGCGGCGGACGGGUGAGUAAUGCCUAGGAAUCUGCCUGGUAGUGGGGGAUAACGUCCGGAAACGGGCGCUAAUACCGCAUACGUCCUGAGGGAGCAAGUGGGGGAUUUUCGGACCUCACGCUAUCAGAUGAGCCUAGGUCGGAUUAGCUAGUUGAUGGGGUAAAGGCCUACCAAGGCGACGAUCCGUAACUGGUCUGAGAGGAUGAUCAGUCACACUAGAACUGGAACGCGGUCCAGACUCCUACGGGAGGCAGCAGUGGAGAAUAUUGGACAGUGGGCGAAAGCCUGGUCCAGCCAUGCCGCGUGUGUGAAGAAGAUCUUCGGAUUGGAAAGCACUUUAAGUUGGGAGGAAGGGCAGUAAGUUAAUACCUUGCUGUUUUGACGUUACCAACAGAAUAAGCACCGGCUAACUUCGUG